This 163-nucleotide ribosomal RNA is filed under the name uncultured bacterium. RNAcentral's name for it is "partial 16S rRNA". It matches the Rfam family "Bacterial small subunit ribosomal RNA", at positions 355 to 511 of the family's 1533-position model. The record is from RNAcentral.
UAGGGAAUCUUCCACAAUGGACGCAAGUCUGAUGGAGCAUCGCCGCGUGAGUGAAGAAGGUCUUCGGAUCGUAAACUCUGUUGUUAGAGAAGAACACGAGUGAGAGUAACUGUUCAUUCGAUGACGGUAUCUAACCAGCAAGUCACGGCUAACUACGUGCCAG